GGGGAGAGUCCUCGCGUCGCUCCUUCGAACCUUUCCGAGGCUUCAAUACCUCCCACACCCGUGUGCACCCGCUGUAGGUCCUUAGGGACCUAUGUCUUCUUCGAACUCGCAUGUCUACAGAACGUCGUCCGUGGCCUCGGCCAUCGUAAACCUAGUACAACUUUCAGCAAUGGAUCUCUUGGCUCUCGCAUCGAUGAAGGACGCAGCGAAUCGCGAUAAGUAAUGUGAAUUGCAGAUUUUCCGUGAAUCAUCGAAUCUUUGAACGCACCUUGCGCUCCUCGGUAUUCCGAGGAGCAUGCCUGUUUGAGUGUCAUCGAAAUAUCGAAUCGAAGCUUUCGACCCCGUCGGAGCUAGGUUUGGACUAUGGGAGUCUGCGGGCGUGGAACCUCCUCCUGUCGGGAGGGGGGGACGUCGGCUCUCCUCAAAAGCAUUAGCGGCGUGUGCGAAGCCUCGCACGGCACGGCCUCUUCGACGUCAUAAUGACCGUCGUGGGCUGGAAGUGCGUGGAUCGCGUCGC
This 517-nucleotide ribosomal RNA is filed under the name uncultured fungus. Its description in RNAcentral is "eukaryotic LSU rRNA". The stretch from base 159 to 313 matches the Rfam family "5.8S ribosomal RNA". The record is from RNAcentral. Lineage: Eukaryota; Fungi.